GUAGAGAUGUAUUAUCCAUGAUGCAACAGUUCGUGAGUAGCUAGAAGAGAGGGACAAUUUAUGGGAAUCUGUAGUGAUUUUAAGUAAAUUAUCUCCAAUUCUAUCCAGUCUCGUAAUGGUCCAGUAGAUUUAUGAAGACGAGAGGUACUGAAACCCUACUAUGCCUUGUACGUACAUUUGCACUACUAACUAGAAAAUUAUUUGCAAAAUGCAUCGCAUUUGCCUUAUAUUAUAUACGGAUAUUGGUAUAGUGCAGUAAACGAUUAGUUGGCUAUGCAUUGCU
Molecule: non-coding RNA, 283 nt
Organism: Schizosaccharomyces pombe (fission yeast)
Lineage: Eukaryota; Fungi; Ascomycota; Schizosaccharomycetes; Schizosaccharomycetales; Schizosaccharomycetaceae
Source: the annotation of a GenBank genome assembly